Molecule: ribosomal RNA, 274 nt
Filed under: uncultured bacterium
Lineage: Bacteria
Description: partial 16S ribosomal RNA
Rfam family: Bacterial small subunit ribosomal RNA
Source: RNAcentral
AUACGGAGGGUGCAAGCGUUAUUCGGAAUCACUGGGCGUAAAGGACGCGUAGGCGGGGUGGAAAGUCAGGUGUGAAAGCCUACAGCUUAGCUGUAGAACUGCACUUGAAACUCUCACCCUAGAGUAUGGGAGGGGCAGAUGGAAUUAGUGGUGUAGGGGUAAAAUCCGUAGAUAUCACUAGGAAUACCGAAAGCGAAGGCGAUCUGCUGGAACAUAACUGACGCUAAGGCGUGAAAGCGUGGGGAGCAAACAGGAUUAGAAACCCCAGUAGUCC